GACAAUGUGGCCGAGGGGGGUUAAGGCGGCAGAUUCGAAAUCUGCUGGGGUUCCCCCGCGUAGGUUCGAAUCCUGCCAUUGUCG
Fragilaria crotonensis is the source of this 84-nucleotide non-coding RNA. The record is from the annotation of a GenBank genome assembly. NCBI's taxonomy places the organism in Eukaryota, Bacillariophyta, Fragilariophyceae, Fragilariales, Fragilariaceae.